This 497-nucleotide ribosomal RNA is filed under the name uncultured bacterium. Its description in RNAcentral is "partial 16S ribosomal RNA". It matches the Rfam family "Bacterial small subunit ribosomal RNA", at positions 28 to 507 of the family's 1533-position model. The record is from RNAcentral.
GAUGAACGCUGGCGGCGUGCCUAAUACAUGCAAGUCGAGCGAACAGACGAGGAGCUUGCUCCUCUGACGUUAGCCGCGCACGUGUGAGUAACACGUGUAUAACCUACCUAUAAGACUGGUAUAACUUCGGGAAACCGGAUCUAAUACCGUAGAAUAUAUUGAACCGCAUUGUUCAAUGGUGAAAGACGGUUUUGCUGUCUCUUAUAGAUGGAUCCGCGCCGCAUUAGCUAGUUGUGAAGGUAACGGCUUACCAAGGCAAGGAUGCGUAGACGACCUGCGAGAGUGAUAGGCGACACUGGAACUGAGCCAGCGUCCAGGCUACUACGGGAGGCAGCAGACGGCAAUCUUCCGCAGUAGGCGAGAACAUGACGGAGCGAGGCCGAGUGAGAGACGACGAUGUUCGGAGCGUAAAAAUCGGUUAUUAGGGAUAAACAAAUGUGUCAGUAAAUAUAGACGUAUUGACGGUAACUAGUAAGAAAGCCACGGCUAACUACGUG